This 71-nucleotide transfer RNA is filed under the name Ictidomys tridecemlineatus (thirteen-lined ground squirrel). RNAcentral describes it as "Spermophilus tridecemlineatus (thirteen-lined ground squirrel) tRNA". It matches the Rfam family "tRNA". Rfam says of the family: Transfer RNA (tRNA) molecules are approximately 80 nucleotides in length. The record is from Rfam by way of RNAcentral. Lineage: Eukaryota; Metazoa; Chordata; Mammalia; Rodentia; Sciuridae.
UGGGUUGUAGCUCAGUGAUGAGAGAGCUUGCCUCACAUGUGAGGCACUGGGUUCGAUUCUCAGCACCCCAU